This 488-nucleotide long non-coding RNA is filed under the name Felis catus (domestic cat). RNAcentral describes it as "lncRNA (ENSFCAG00000053236.1)". Lineage: Eukaryota; Metazoa; Chordata; Mammalia; Carnivora; Felidae. The record is from RNAcentral.
UCGUUCUUUGUUUGGAUUCAGAUAAGGGCAUUUUCAAGUUUCUUGAGAUCACGGUGGAGGCCGGCCAAUUCUGUUUCCACCCGAGGAUCCAUCAUCUCUGUCCCUGGUCUCUUGCGCACGUCAGCUGGCGAGAACUCAGACGGGGCAGGCGCAAGGUUACUUCCAUUGUUCAUGUAAACCAGGUCAAGGUAACCGAUUGUUGCGAGGCUGUUUUAUAUCCGUGUAUUUCAUCAGUCCUCGUGGAUGGACGCUAGGCCUCCUUUGUUCUGAAUGAUAGAGGAACAUGCUGGAAGAGAGAAAGUUCCCUGAAAAGUGGCUAACAUAACUAUACCGAGAUAGCCAUUAAAAUCGACACGGAAUGCCUGAAUAGAUGCUGCACCGUUUCCAGAAAGUUGCCCUUUCUGAUUCUGACGACCAAAGCCUGCCCAUCAAACAGCGGCACCGACAGGGAAAACGCACGGCUGUCUAGAACGAUCGUUGUAGUUUAC